This 1314-nucleotide long non-coding RNA is filed under the name Malus domestica (apple). RNAcentral's name for it is "long non-coding RNA (MDOM_LNC008952)". Lineage: Eukaryota; Viridiplantae; Streptophyta; Magnoliopsida; Rosales; Rosaceae. The record is from RNAcentral.
CACAAAAGCUUCACCUACAAAACUUUAGCACAAAAGCUUCACACUAUCUUGAUCAAGAUAGUGCGAAGCAAAAUCAAUUCAUGGUACCCAACAAAGCUUCAACCUCAAAGCAUCACCUACAAAGCUUCAACACCAAAGCUUAGAAUAUAUAUAUAUAUUCGGAAAUUAGAAAAUUCAAAAAUUCAAAAAUUAGGAAAUUCAGAAAUUCGGAAAUUCAAAAGAAAAAUAAAAUUGCCUAGGCCUCAUCUUCUUUGGGCCUAACAACUUUCAUAACAAAUAUAUAUGAAUGAGGAUUUUUGGGCUACCAUUUAGAAAGGAAAUGCCUCAUUCGUCAACUCCCUCGACCGGAAAUUUGGGGGACUCCUACCAUAUGCUACUGCACCUUGAUACUCGGAAGUUUCACGACCACUAAGUGACUUGGAUUUUUCAAGUCUCCAACCAAGAAAUUUUCCUCACUCGGGAAAUUAAGGGAGCACUACAUCAACAUACAUACUUCACUCACAAAGCUUCAACAUACAAGCUUCAACAAAAGAAAAAAACUCAAAGAACUUAGUGAAGAAGGUCUUGGUGUAUUUAACACAAUACAUUGAAAUAAAGCAAAGCUUGUUUAUUGAUAUCUCCGUUAAGUUACAAAUAUGUACAUAUACAUGAAUCAAAAUAAACAAACAAGAGGGAACCUUCACAAAGGUUGCUCAGAAGAAGUCUCAACAGUCUGCAGAGCCCCAAAAAGAGGAGGUACCAGAGGGUGAUUAUUCGGAGCCUCAGUACUAGGCAGAACCCCAGAAGGAGGAGGCACCGAAGGUUGAUCAUUUGGAGCUUCAUUACGUGGUACAGCUUCAGAAGACGAAGGCAAUAAAUGCCUUUAGAACAAACACAUAAACCUCUGAUGAUCAAGUAAAAUUUGACCAUCAGAUUCUUGCAGCUGGUCGAGAUUCCUCUUCAUAUUUGUAGCAUAGUCAUGUGCGAGUCUCAGCAGAGUCUCUCGAAAUACUCAGCUUCUUUUCCCCCCGAUAAUACCUCUGCAAACAAGCCACAACAGAGCAAGAGUAUCUCAUAUCAUUAGGGUUAAAAGCAAGAGUAUCCCAUAUCAUGCUUUUCCCUGUAUUUUCCUUUGGCAUUGUUCUUACCUGCAAAACAAUGAGAAAUAGAGCAAUUAGUCAGCACUUGAAAUCAAGCUUCCAGUUAGAAACUGACUGCCUGGAACCCCUUGCCUGAUUACUUACCUAACAUUGCUCUCGAGUACUCAUCUUCAACAUCUUAUGCUUCCAGAGAAGAUACCACAUCUACCUGAGGAACAGAUAGGGUAAGUGAGAA